Molecule: transfer RNA, 74 nt
Filed under: marine sediment metagenome
Description: tRNA-Gly
Rfam family: tRNA
About the family: Transfer RNA (tRNA) molecules are approximately 80 nucleotides in length.
Source: RNAcentral
GCAUUUGUCGUUUAAUGGUAGGACCUCUGCCUUCCAAGCAGAUGAUGUGGGUUCGAUUCCCGCCAGAUGUUCCA